CCCGCUGAACUUAAGCAUAUCAAUAAGCGGAGGAAAAGAAACUAACAAGGAUUCCCCUAGUAACUGCGAGUGAAGCGGGAAAAGCUCAAAUUUAAAAUCUGUCAGUCUUUGGCUGUCCGAGUUGUAAUCUAGAGAAGUGUUAUCCGCGCUGGACCGUGUACAAGUCUCCUGGAAUGGAGCGUCAUAGAGGGUGAGAAUCCCGUCUUUGACACGGACUGCCAGGGCUUUUGUGAUGCGCUCUCAAAGAGUCGAGUUGUUUGGGAAUGCAGCUCAAAAUGGGUGGUAAAUCUCAUCUAAAGCUAAAUAUUGGCGAGAGACCGAUAGCGAACAAGUAGAGUGAUCGAAAGAUGAAAAGUACUUUGAAAAGAGAGUGAAACAGUACGUGAAAUUGUUGAAAGGGAAGCGUUUGGCAUCAGCCCAUGGCCCCCGACGAUCACCUCGACCCUCGGUCGAGUGCACUCGUCGGUGGUUGGGCCAGCGUCGGCUCUGUCCGCCGGAGAAAGGUUCGGGCGAUGUGGCUCCUUCACGGGAGCGUUAUAAACCCGGGCGUCAUACGGCGUGAUGGGGCCGAGGUCUGCGGUCUCGUACCUAGGACGCUGGCGUAAUGGUUCCAAGCGACCCGUCUUGAAACACGG
This 635-nucleotide ribosomal RNA is filed under the name uncultured fungus. RNAcentral's name for it is "eukaryotic LSU rRNA". It matches the Rfam family "Eukaryotic large subunit ribosomal RNA", at positions 24 to 664 of the family's 3401-position model. The record is from RNAcentral. Lineage: Eukaryota; Fungi.